This 1375-nucleotide long non-coding RNA is filed under the name Androctonus crassicauda. Lineage: Eukaryota; Metazoa; Arthropoda; Arachnida; Scorpiones; Buthidae. The record is from RNAcentral.
UUCUUCAUAAUCAUUAAUUUGUUUUAAACAGAAAUAAAAUCAAUUUUAUAAAAAUUACAAUUUAAAAUUACAUUUUAUAAUAUGUGGAAAGUUGAAAUUAUUCAGCAAAAAAUAUGUCAUUUAUGUGUGCCUUAUCCCAGAUCAAAGUUAGAUCAGUUCCAUGAUGUUAGCCUUCUUAAACUUCUGGAUGGCAAUUUCAAGAGUAUUUUAGUGUGGGACCUGUGAGGUAUUGCAUGAACAAGGAAGCUUUUGUGUUUCAAGCAAAAUUGUUCGUGCUCAACUGAGUAAUGGAAAUAGCUACUGGAUUAGCCUGGUCCAGUGCCUGUUAUGGUUUAUUCCAACAGCUCUUCCAGCUGUUGGAAUAAAUCAUGAUAGGCUCACUACAGUCAUCACUACAGGCUCUAAAUGAUGGGUACCAUUGAGUGCUUCUGGUACCCAUCAGAGGUAAGGUACUGGAAAUAUGUUGUUGUAAAGCUGUCAUUCUCCAAUCAGUCCAUGGCCACAAGGCAUCUUUGGUAACAAAAGAGUGGACUCUUUGGUCAAGUGAUUGGCUAGAAGUUCAGUGUCUGUUAUAAUUCUUCUUUCCACCAACUAUAUUAAAGGCACUUUACUAUAUUGAUCAAUGACAAACUGGUAGGAGAGCUGGAGUAGAUGUAUAAUGGAUAAGACCACCCAUUCCCUCCUGCCUGUGGUAGAUAGAAUUCCCAUCAGUAUUGACUGUUGUUUAACUCAGAUGUUAACAGGUCGUGGCAAAUUCCCCUAUUAUCUCUCCAUUAUGGGAGUUAAUGAUGGAAGUUAUGGUAUGUGGUAUGGUGAUGCAUUGCCCUAUCUACUUUACUGCCCCCAUAUGGAAGUCUUCUGUAGGGCAUCAUAGAUGUGGACUAGAUUAAAUCUGAAAGUGAAGUAUGUCAAAUUUUUGCAGCAAGUCAAGGGAAUUUUGCUAAACUCAGGCAACUGGGGAUGCAAUUAAGCAGCUCUUGGACUGAUCCAGUUUAUAACCAGCUGAUCACAGAGACUUUUUAUAGGAGGAAGGAUGUCUCAUUGUGUAUACUCCAGUUUUCACCUUGGAGCAGUUUCUAGUCUUGAUCCUUUGGGUAAAGAUGAAAUGUGAUGACAACAUCACAAACACAUCAAUAAAUGCCUGAGAUUGAAAGUCUCAGUGGAAGGUGAAACUAUAAUCCUCAGCUCAUUGCUGCAAUUAGGCUGAGGAGAGCGACUGAGUUGGAACUCUAUGCUUAUCAGUUCAAUGUGGCAAUCAAUAGGUGGCAUGUUGAUGUAGCAGUCAAUAGGUGACAUGUUGAAUGUGGCAGUCAGAACUGUAACAGUUUAAUCAUAGUUACUGCUGGAUCACGGUUUGGCAUUGCCUCACUUGUAU